This is a long non-coding RNA of Pseudopipra pipra, 731 nucleotides long. RefSeq lists it as uncharacterized. The transcript is spliced from 2 exons. NCBI's taxonomy places the organism in Eukaryota, Metazoa, Chordata, Aves, Passeriformes, Pipridae. The record is from RefSeq and is a predicted model, not a curated record.
GAGAGCCUCUGGGUAAGAAUGAGGGGACAAACAAAUAAUGUAGAUCUCAUUGUGGGAGUCUACUAUAGAGCUGCUGGCCAGGAUGAUGAUGCUGAUGAAUUAUUCUUUGAGGAACUAAGGGACACUUCCAAAUCAACUGCCCUUGUCCUUAUGGCGGACUUCAACUUGCCAGAAAUUAAUUGGGAGCAUCACACAGCUGGUACAACCUGACCCAGAAGAUUCCUAAAAAACCUGGAUAACAACUUUUUGGAACAGGUCCUAAGGGAGCAAACUUGGAAAGAUGCCCUCCUUGAUCUGCUGCUGGUCAACAGAGUGGAUCUUGUGAGUGAAGCAGUGAUUGGUGACGAUCUUGGCCACAGCGACCACAGGGUGAUUGAGUUUAAAAUCUCCAUCGACUGGAGGAAAAGUGCCAGCAAAACCUCACCUCUGGACAUGAGGAGAGCAGAAUUCAGGCUACUCAGGAAAUUAGGCACAGGAACCGGCAAUUCCCAGAUGAUGGAAGACAAACAUGCGAGGCAGAAGGCUGGCUUGGCUAAGAAGGGUUCUUCUCUUGGAAAUAAGACAAAAAAGGAAGGUGUAUGCCAAAUGGAAACAAGGUCAAGUGACAUGGGAAGAAUUCAGAGAUGCUGCAUGCCACUGUAGGGAGAAAAUUUGUGUGGCCAAAGCUCAGCCAGAGUUGAAGCUGCCAGAAAUGUGGGGGACAAUAAAAAGAGUUUUUUCAGAUACAUUAA